CAUAAUAUGUGAUAUUUUAGGAAGUCAUUUCAAUUGUUAUAGUAGGAAUGUUAAUCUUCGUGAUGAAAUUUAAUAAACUACAACUGAAAGUUCUCAAGAGAAGUGAGUACAAUUAAAAACUUUCUUUUUCAUUGUUUUGGCCACUUACAUUUACUAUUGAUGUUGGAUAGCUUUUAUUAUUUACAAUUUGUAGUAUCAAGUUCAGAGCACCUUACUUGAAGUAGGAUUAUAGUGUUGAGUUUGGAGUACCUUUUUUAUUGUAAUUUGAAUUUUUUUAUCUUUUCAAGUACACAGAAAAAGUGUAUAUUGACAAUGACACCUCCUUUUGUGUGAUGUUUUCUUAAAAUUGAUAAAGUAUUGUGUAUUAUAAUCGCAAAACUAAAACCCAUAUUGUUCAACUGCCACAAUUGUUUCAUUUGGCCAAGUUUGAGAUGUACUGAUUUUAUAACAACAAAUUUGUGAUCUACAUACUGCAAGUCCAACAAACUGUUGGAGUUGAACUGUGAUGUUAAAUUAAAGAUGUGUAUAAUGUAUUAAAACACUAUCUGAAUCUUGAGGUAUUAAACAUGUUUAGGUAGAAUGUUGAAUUUAGAGAGUUACCUAUGUAGAAAGAGUCAUUAUCUUUUAAAUAAAGAUUUUAGCUAAAACUCCUCCAAACUUUGUGUAGAAGCUUUAGUAGUGGUAAUUCACGUGUGAUUAGUCACCAAGACGGAUUGUUGGAGUAAAAUCUGGCUCAUAGUUUAUAGUUACUACUUGAAUACGUAAGUUAGUGUCUCAGUUGUGUAAGCUAUUUUGUAGGUCCAGAGUUGUAUAUGCUGUGUGAGAACUCUUAAGUUUCUGCGAUAUGCAAAUCUUAUUUGUCUUAUUUUGUAUAGAGUACAUUUGUUGAAAGAAUUUGUGCAAAUGAUGUAGAUAGGACAUCUUUUGAUACUUUCUAUUUUAGCUUGAUAUAUUUAUUUUAUAUAUCUUUGUGUUGUAAAAAAUUGUAUUGUUGCACAUGUGAGAGCUAAUAAGGAUAUCUUCAUUCUGCUUUCUUUAAUUAUACUGAAAGCAGUUAUAGAAAGCUGAGUUUGGGAUAUAUGUAAAUAAAAUAAAGCAGAGUAUUUUUUAUUUUAAAAAAAGUUAUAUAUGGGUUGAUAUUUUAAGAGUUGCAUAUCAGGCAUUUGAAUAUCGACCUUUUUGUGGAGCUGGUGAUAAGAGUAAGGAGCUUGAGUUUUAGUUUUUAGUUUUUGCUUCUCUAGGUCUGCACUUCAUUUCUUGCGUGCCAAUUCAAAUGUUUUCUUUUUCUUGUUGAAAGUUAUCUUACAGCUAUGAUGUGGUUAUAUUCUUUUCCAAUAAUAACUAAUGGCUUAUCUUCCUUUUUCAUAUUUUUUUUUGGGUGAUUGCCCUGUUUGUCUGCUUUAGGUGUCAAUUCUUGCCUUUGUUCUGCUGCUCCUCCGAUGCAAAAGUGGGAUUCUCAAAAAGGAGAUAGAUAGUAUGAUCUAUAUCCUUUGUGAUGCAAUGAGCUGCCACCUUUCACUGCGCCGAUCCUAGCAAAGUUAGCAGAUUCAGUCUUCAUAUAUCUAUUAUACGACAUGAGGAUUUAUUGGUGAGUUCCAAUCGUUCUUUUUCUUGGUGUAUUUAUCUAAUUUCAGUUUGUACGAAGCUUUAGGACAGAAAAAGAUAGUAGAGUAUUUUUUCCUAUAUUGCAGCCUGCAGUUUUUAAGACUCUUAAAUUUCUUAAUAGGUAGAACUAAGUGCAGAAAAGAGAACAUUUAUUGUUAUAAUUUGUAUUUGUGGCAUGAUGUGAUAUAUCCAAUUGUCUUACUUUGUCUAAAACUAUCCUCUUCUCCUAGCAAUUUCGCAAUCCCAAAAUCACUUAAAUGGACAACCGUGUUUUCAUCUAGCAAAAUGUUGCUAGGCUUCAAAUCACAAUGCACUACUGGCUGUGAAUAAUCGUUAUGGAGAUAGUCUAAAGGCUACAUCGAUCAUUAUGUCCAACUUUUGCAACAUGUCUGAAUAUGCAUAAGUCAUAAGAGUGUAACCAUUUGUUAGGGCUGUCAUUUGGCAAGUACUCCAAAAUAAGGCCUUGAAAAUAUCUCAUAGAGAUUCUAUAAAUGCUCAAAUUAGUUAGACAUAGUCAUAGAAAUCAAGCUCAUGCGACACUGACAUUAGUGAAGAAUGUCCGGACUCCAUUUUAUGGGACUAAAUUGGGUAUAUUGUUGUUGUAUGUAUAGUCAUAGUACUUAAGUAGAACGAGCUACAUUAGACUUGAAACAACCUAAGUAUCUAAUAAUUUUAGUUUCAUACUUCAUUUGUUGUGCCAAGAAUUAGUGUCCAGGAAAGCUACUGCUUCGUCACUUUAAGAGGUGAACCGUUGCGAAGUGGUAUAACAAUGUUGCAAAGUUUUGAAGCGAAGCACCUUAGAGAAGCAAGUGCUUCAAUGGCGAAGUGAGGUUAAGUGUGAAGUAAUAUGAAGCAUCUCUCCUUUAUAAUAUAUAUCAUAAACAUUUUAAAAGGUUUAUUUUAAGAAGUUCAACAUCAAAAUUUUACAUUUCAGACGGCAAGGGUUUCACGUCCUCUCUGAUGAUUGAAUUUCAGGUAAGCAUCUUUUCUAGCUUUUUCUCCUUUCUUCUUCUACUUAUCCAUCGUCCUUAGGUGUUUCUUUUCUUUCAUCAUCUACUUUCUUCAUCCUAAUUUCAAAUGUAAUAGGUGAUUUUGAUCAAAGACAAUCCAGAAGAAAUUGAUUGCAACACUAGAUGCAUCUGUUAGUGUCUGAUUUAUAAAUAUAGUAUAUAUAAAUGUAGUUAGUACUCUCACAUAUGCAAAUAGUAUGACAUUCACAAAACAUGUAGAGAAACACAUUUAGCAGCUAUACUAUGUUCGAUAUAAUGGUAUUUAUAUGUAAUUUAAUCAUUUAUAUUAAUCGAUUUUAGAUUAAGAAUAAGACUACACAUUGGGCCCGUGCACGAAUUUUCGCUUAUUUUACAAAAGUCAUUCCAAGUACAUGCAUUACUUCUAUUGAUCCACCAUGUUCACCCACUAACUUCUCAAAGUUGCAAAGAUAUUUUUAGAUUAUGACAUUUCCCUUAAAAUGUUCAUUAGGAAUCUGUAAAGCUUGCUUAAUGUUGAAUAAUAGAAGAUAUGGCUUUUUCUAUCUUGUCUUGAUAUAGAAGUUUACUGUAAGCAGUGAUGUGACAAUAUUGACAAAUUUCCAUGUGAAUGAACAAAUAAAGAAGAUCUCAUUUAGAAGUAUGCGUCGGAAUGCUUUCCGGUAUCCUUGACAUAGACAAACAAAUCAUGUUGUUCUCAUUACCUUUAUUCAAUUGUGUCUCUUCAUCAGUUUUGCAGGUUAGAGUAUCUUCUUCUUCAUUUUCAGCCACUACACCAAAACAGAGUGUCUAUAACAUUUCACGUUUUUUUAUUUACAUGACGCUUGAUAUUAGAUAUAUUACUGAAAUGCUUCAUAAAUUGCAGAUAUGCAUAUUUCAUAUCUGGUGUCUUCCAGUCUUAAGUUGUCCAAUAAUCAUUUGUUUAUGUAGGAGUACAAUGUACAAUUAUUAAAUAUACGUACUUUCUAAGGACACGCUAUUUUCCCAUGAUAGAACAAAGUAUAUUUUGUUGCAGUGCAGUUGUAACUUAUAACCAUCUAAUCAUGUGAUUGCUUCAGAA
Solanum tuberosum (potato) is the source of this 3651-nucleotide long non-coding RNA. RefSeq lists it as uncharacterized. The transcript is spliced from 2 exons. The record is from RefSeq and is a predicted model, not a curated record. Lineage: Eukaryota; Viridiplantae; Streptophyta; Magnoliopsida; Solanales; Solanaceae.